AAUCACUACCUGCGCGCGGGUGCCCUUGAUCCAAGGGUGAAAAGGGAACCGGGUGCGAAUCCCGGACGGCCCCGCCACUGUGUUGGGGAGCGGCUUCCAGGAGGCCACUGACCGGCAGUCAGUUUUGUUCUGUUGUACCGCGUGGAGCAUGCCAGAGGGUAGAAAGCGUAGCGAAGGCAUGCGUCCUUAGCGCCUUGAAUACAGUUGAGUGCUGGUUGGGAAGGCGGAAGUUCGCAAUGAACCUGAGUCAGGAGACCUGCCCGCGCGCCGACGCACGA
This 278-nucleotide non-coding RNA is filed under the name Clostridia bacterium. The record is from RNAcentral. Lineage: Bacteria; Bacillati; Bacillota; Clostridia.